UGGGCUCGAUAUUAAAUCGAGAAAAUAUGAUUUUUAUAAGUUAAAAAAAUGGUUUCGAAUGCAUGAUGCAAUUAAAAAACAAAUCAUAUUAUUAAACAACAAUAAAUAAAAAAGAAAUAUGAAUAAUAAAGCAUAAAUAUAAAAGAAAGAAAAACUACACCUAGAAGUAUCGAACCCACUACACUAAAGAUCUAGAAGCCACUCCCCUCCACCAAACCACUUACUAACUAACUGAUAUUUUAAUGCUAACUUAAAUGUAUAAACUAAGAUACACUAAAAGAGAAAUAAAAUGAAAAAACUAAAUAAUAAAAAACUGU
This 317-nucleotide long non-coding RNA is filed under the name Lathyrus oleraceus (garden pea). RNAcentral's name for it is "Pisum sativum (pea) long non-coding RNA (PSAT_LNC024337)". The record is from RNAcentral. Lineage: Eukaryota; Viridiplantae; Streptophyta; Magnoliopsida; Fabales; Fabaceae.